RNAcentral lists this ribosomal RNA (423 nucleotides) under uncultured bacterium. Its description in RNAcentral is "partial 16S ribosomal RNA". It matches the Rfam family "Bacterial small subunit ribosomal RNA", at positions 359 to 774 of the family's 1533-position model. The record is from RNAcentral.
GAAUUUUGGACAAUGGGCGAAAGCCUGAUCCACCAAUGCCGCGUGCAGGAUGAAGGCCUUCGGGUUGUAAACUGCUUUUGUACGGAACGAAAAGAUUUGGGUUAAUACCCUGGAGUCAUGACGGUACCGUAAGAAUAAGCACCGCCCAACUACGUGCCAGCAGCCGCGGUAAUCCGUAGUGUGCAGGCGUUCAGCGGAAUUACGGGGCGUAAAGCGUGCUCAGGCGGUUUUGUAAGACAGAGGUGAAAUCCCCGGGCUCAACCUGGGAACUGCCUUUGUGACUGAAAGGCUAGAGUACGGCAGAGGGGGGUGGAAUUCCGCGUGUAGCAGUGAAAUGCGUAGAUAUGCGGAGGAACACCGAUGGCGAAGGCAACCCCCUGGGCCUGUACUGACGCUCAUGCACGAAAGCGUGGGGAGCAAACA